CCCUCGAUAACUCAGUUGGCAGAGCGGAGGACUAAAUGUUACAACGGUGAUCCUUAGGUCGCUGGUUCAAAUCCGGCUCGAGGCA
This 85-nucleotide transfer RNA is filed under the name Cordylochernes scorpioides. Its description in RNAcentral is "tRNA-Phe". It matches the Rfam family "tRNA". Rfam says of the family: Transfer RNA (tRNA) molecules are approximately 80 nucleotides in length. The record is from RNAcentral. Lineage: Eukaryota; Metazoa; Arthropoda; Arachnida; Pseudoscorpiones; Chernetidae.